UUUGUGACGCGUGAUAACAUUAUUGAAUUGAAUUUUUGUCGGACUGUAUUUAAAAAAAGAAAUAGACACUCACACACAGCACAAAGGCAGUCCGUAAUAUAAUAAUAAUAUUAAAAAGAAAGAGAAAAUCUAGGAAAAUCAAAUCGCGACAGGUUAAGUAACAAGAAUGGAGAGAAAGAAAGAGAGAGAGAAAGAGAGAAAGGAAGGAUGAUUGAAAAUGUGUUUGAAAUAGAGAAAGAAAGAGAUUUAAAAAAAUGGAAAAAAGUAGGUUUGUUACAUGAUGAGAAACUAGAAUGUAAAUUAAUUUAUUUUAUCGGAAGAACCGUUAUAUAUAUAUGUACUGUCGAGAAAGAACAGAAAGACGAAAAGUAAAAACGCAUAGAUGCAUCGAUUUACACCGUACAUCACAUGUAUGCACGACAGAUACACGCGUGUACAGACAGAUUGAGGGGAGAGUAAUCGAGACGACACUCUGUCAUCUUUCGAGAUGUCGAAAUUGAUGGCUGUAAAUAAAAUAAAUAUUUGUCUAAAUGAUCAAAUGGAAAAUUCGAUCGAGGAAGAUUGAACUUCUUGAGCGCUUUUGCGACCGCGCGAAUAAUUGUAUUUACCGAAAUGAGUAUAUUUUCUCAAAAAUUUGGAAAUUUGCAAAAGUAAACGCUUAUAUUACUUGAUUUGAUUAAAUACCUUCGUGUUGAGUCCCGUUUCAAUCGUGAUUAUUCUUCACGUUACAACCUGCGUCCAACGAGAUCUCCAUCUCUUCCCCUUCUUCUGGAUGUCUCUUCUCCUAUAUCAAUCAUCACCAUCACCAUCACCAUCAUCAUCACUAUUGUCACCAUUAUCAUCACUAUUGUCACCAUCAUCAUCACUAUUGUCACUAUCAUUAUCAUUACUAUUACUAUUAUCAUUAUUCGUGCAUCCAGCGGAGUUUCACGUUAGGAUCCGACUUAGGAUUGAUAGUUGAGAAUUGAGUGAAAGAGCAAUAAGGAGGGAGAGAGAGUGUGUAGGAAAGCUUUUUACCAAAAAUAUGCGAGAACCGCGGACUACUCGCGCGACACACGAGAAACUGAUAUGAAAAACAGCAGUGAGUAGGUAGUUAGAUAGAGUUUUAGUGAAGAGAGAGAGAGAGAGAGAGAGAGAGAGAGAGAGAGAGAGACGAGUCGCGUCGCGUAGUUAUUAUUAUAAUAUUACAAUAAUAGCGCUGUAUUAUUAUAAUUAACGAUUUACUAUUAUUGACGUCAUCUAAACGUAUGAAAGAUUUUUACACUGUUGAGACUUGAAGUAAAUAAUAUAUUUAGUUUAUUUUGGUACAUCACGAUGACGAGAGAGUGAGAGUGAGAAAUAGAGAGAACGAGAGAGAUAAAUUGACGAAAAAAUAAAAAAAAGCCGAGAGCAAAGAAGUAGAAAGGCGGAGUACGAGCUAUUUUUUAAGAAACAGACUUUAUUACUCGAUUUGAGUCCAUGCAUUAAGGUAAAAAGUAAAUAAAAAGAACGCAGAGGAUAAGUGUGAAAGGAAGAAUGAUUUUUGCAUGAAAGGGGUCGUGUACGAAAGAGUGAGAGAAAGAAAGUGAAUGAAAGAUGGGAAACUGAGAAGAAAAUGCGAAAGAGAGAGAGAGAGAGAGAGAGACUCGCUAAUUAGCGAGUGCGUAUUGUGUAUUUAUUGCACAAGGCGAGAUUGUCACCACUUGACUGACAAAAAAAUCCACAUGUGAUUUUAAUAGUAAAUUUUGAGAAUUUUACUAAAUAGAGACUCUUGUAUACACUAAAAAAAGUAACUAAAGUAAUUAUCGUGACUGACCAAACGAAGAAAAGGGAAAAAAAGGAGAAAAGUGAGUAAACAGAGCAGCAGUAAUAGUUGCGCCGACUGGUUCAGGGGUCGAAGAAGGGAAAGAAGAAGGGAUCAAGAUAGCGAAUAUAAUCUAUCGUGUGUCUAGCAUCCCCGGAUAUGGAAAAAGUUAGAUUCCACAAGAGUGACCGGAAAAGAAGGGUAGCCGGAAUAGAAAGAAAGCUAGAGAGAAAAGGAGAAAAAGAGCGAUCGCGAGCGAGAGUAUAGUUAUUAUGUACAGAAAAACGUGCAGAGACGCGUCUUCUUUUUUUUUUUUUCUUGCGGCGACGUGUUUUUUCGCAUACAGGUAGAGUUGAACAUGAUGAUUUAAAAAAAAAACCGUAGGAUAAGCAACGAGCGAGCGAGGACUCGCUCGGAUUAGGAGAUAAUAGGAAAAGGGGCGAUCUUUUAUCGGAUUAAGAAGCGGCUAAGUUUAUAAAUAGACGUAGAUAGGUAGAAUAAUAGUUUAGUUAUAUAGUAGUUAGGAUACGAAUAUGCCUCUCAUCCCCCGUGUCCCCUAUCCUCCCUCUGUGUGUUGUCGCGGGCACGGGGGGCACGGGCGUGGGGCACCGUUCAGCCUAUGCACCUCGCACCCGUCAAGACUGACUGGCUAUUCAUAUUAAUUGAUAAAUAUAUAUAUAUAUUAUUCUACACACACAUAUAUAUAUAUAUGUAUAUAUAUAUAUAUAUAUGUAUGAACUACUUGUAUAAUUGUAUAAAUAGUAAGGAACUAUUUGCUUGCUGCGCACCGCGGGUCGGGUGCGUGGGCUGGCCGGAUGUGGGCUCUUUGAACUCGAUAGGGUACCGGAGGCUUGUAGGGUUUCCGCGGUAGAAAAUUACCCUCAAUCCGAGGACCGGAAACGCACGGAAACGAUUCCUUCCGACUCCGGUCAUUCGAGGGAUCCUCCCACAUGAACGUUAGACGCGAAUAAUCAUACGAAUUUUUUUUCCUAUACGAUUCUUUGCCUCUAACAAGUUCUUAAGAACUUUUCACCGCGAGAACUGUCGAGCCUUCCGCAGCCCGGCCGCCAACAAGUUUCGGGCAGGAAAACGGUUCUUGCCGUUGCAGACAAUGCUGCUUUCCGUAAAGCUUUCUCUAGAGUUUUUCGCGCGUAGACACUCUUUAGAUUAGGCGUACUGUAGUUGAUAGGCUGAUUGUAGAAAAGGAGAUGAGAGGGAGCGAAAAACUGAUUGGACGAGAAGGCGAGGCGUAAAAAAUAUAGAAUGUUUUUAAGAAUAAAAUAACGUUAGUCGAAAUCGGCUUAAGAGAAUGAAAGCGAAUACGAUGUAUGUUAGCAUGUAUGAGAUAGAGAGAAAGAGAGAAAGAAGAAAAAGAUAAGAGCAAAAGAAAUAAGGGGGAACGAUGUCGUCGGACGCUGAGGUCUCUUUUUAAAUCCGCGCGCGAGGAUCAAUUUGUAGAAUUUCGAGAGUACUUUUUAAGGCAGAGGUGAAAAGAAGGCGUUUAGUAUGUAAUGUGAAGAAAAAAUUUUUAGACGUUAAGGCAAGUUGUGUCAUAGUUAGUUAAGAGAUCUAGGGAGACUCUUAGGAAGUCGAAUAGGUGCUGUAAUAAAACAAAGUUUAACACAAGAAACAAGUCAGAAUUAGAUUUUUCAUGAAUAAAGUAAAUUUAAAAAAUUAAAAAAAAAAUGAAUGAAAAAAAGCUCGAGAUAAGAGGAACGUAAAGAAAAAAAAAUAAGGAACGUAACACACGUGACGUUGACGACACAAGGGGCAUAAGCCACUAAAAAGUGCCCUUAGUUUAUUUUGGAUCGUUUAAAAAAAACGCUAGUCUUUGUGUGUGAGAGAGCGAGAGAAAGAGAGAGAGAGAGAGAGAGAGCGCGAGAGAGAGAGAGAAAACGAGAGAAAGAUAGUAAUGUGGGGGUUUUUUUAGAUAGGAUCUUCGAGAAUAAACAGGCAAACACAAAUGAAAAAAAAAAAAA
Long non-coding RNA from Trachymyrmex septentrionalis, 3762 nucleotides. RefSeq lists it as uncharacterized. The record is from RefSeq and is a predicted model, not a curated record. The transcript has 2 exons. Lineage: Eukaryota; Metazoa; Arthropoda; Insecta; Hymenoptera; Formicidae.